GGCCGAAGGUGGGAUUAGUGAUUGGGGUGAAGUCGUAACAAGGUAGCCGUAGGAGAACCUGCGGCUGGAUCACCUCCUUUCUAGGGAGUCGA
RNAcentral lists this ribosomal RNA (92 nucleotides) under Clostridium sulfidigenes. RNAcentral describes it as "partial 16S ribosomal RNA". The stretch from base 1 to 80 matches the Rfam family "Bacterial small subunit ribosomal RNA", at positions 1454 to 1533 of the family's 1533-position model. Lineage: Bacteria; Bacillati; Bacillota; Clostridia; Eubacteriales; Clostridiaceae. The record is from RNAcentral.